GCCCAGGUGGUGGAAUUGGUAGACACGCCAUCUUGAGGGGGUGGUGCGCUAUGCGCGUGCGGGUUCAAGUCCCGCCCUGGGCACCA
RNAcentral lists this transfer RNA (86 nucleotides) under Parendozoicomonas haliclonae. RNAcentral's name for it is "tRNA-Leu(gag)". It matches the Rfam family "tRNA". Rfam says of the family: Transfer RNA (tRNA) molecules are approximately 80 nucleotides in length. Their secondary structure includes four short double-helical elements and three loops (D, anti-codon, and T loops). Further hydrogen bonds mediate the characteristic L-shaped molecular structure. tRNAs have two regions of fundamental functional importance: the anti-codon, which is responsible for specific mRNA codon recognition, and the 3' end, to which the tRNAs corresponding amino acid is attached (by aminoacyl-tRNA synthetases). tRNAs cope with the degeneracy of the genetic code in two manners: having more than one tRNA (with a specific anti-codon) for a particular amino acid; and 'wobble' base-pairing, i.e. permitting non-standard base-pairing at the 3rd anti-codon position. Lineage: Bacteria; Pseudomonadati; Pseudomonadota; Gammaproteobacteria; Oceanospirillales; Endozoicomonadaceae. The record is from RNAcentral.